This 232-nucleotide long non-coding RNA is filed under the name Elaeis guineensis (African oil palm). Its description in RNAcentral is "long non-coding RNA (EGUI_LNC072883)". The record is from RNAcentral. Lineage: Eukaryota; Viridiplantae; Streptophyta; Magnoliopsida; Arecales; Arecaceae.
AUCAAUGAUGGCCGACCCCAACUGAUGUGAUAUUUGAUUCAUACCAACUAGAGAAAUCUUGGAAUCCAUGUGACAACCUACCAUAAGCAGAUAAAGAAGAAAAUAGCAAAAUAUCUUUUUAGAUAAGACAGAAUAUCAUAAGCAUAUCAUACUUGAUAAGGCCAGACUAAUCAUCUGAUUCUCCUUUCUCCUCACGACACCUUGGUCUCUGUCUAUAAAUAGAGGGCCACAG